UUCAGGUUGUGUUGUGAUUCUUUUCCAUGUAGUUUUGUGAUAAUCUGUUAAUUUCACCUUGUACAUUGAAACUAUUCCUAUGAAUUCAGCGUAAAGCAUGAGUAUGAAGGAGAAUGGAAUGAGAACAAGACCCGCUUAACCACCUGUGAUCCCCAUGCCAAAAGGCUGGUCACUAGCUCUGAAUCUCCCCAAGAGAUUAAAAGCAAGAAAGAAAUAAUUUUCAGCUAUGAUGUUGAGUUCGAGGCAAGUGAUGUGAAGUGGGC
Molecule: small RNA, 263 nt
Filed under: Vigna angularis var. angularis
Lineage: Eukaryota; Viridiplantae; Streptophyta; Magnoliopsida; Fabales; Fabaceae
Description: Non-protein coding transcript
Source: RNAcentral